This 463-nucleotide ribosomal RNA is filed under the name Vreelandella stevensii. Its description in RNAcentral is "partial 16S ribosomal RNA". It matches the Rfam family "Bacterial small subunit ribosomal RNA", at positions 338 to 795 of the family's 1533-position model. The record is from RNAcentral. Lineage: Bacteria; Pseudomonadati; Pseudomonadota; Gammaproteobacteria; Oceanospirillales; Halomonadaceae.
CCUCGGAGGCUGCAGUGGGGAAUAUUGGACAAUGGGCGAAAGCCUGAUCCAGCCAUGCCGCGUGUGUGAAGAAGGCCUUCGGGUUGUAAAGCACUUUCAGUGGGGAAGAAAGCCUUGGGGCUAAUACCCUCGAGGAAGGACAUCACCCACAGAAGAAGCACCGGCUAACUCCGUGCCAGCAGCCGCGGUAAUACGGAGGGUGCGAGCGUUAAUCGGAAUUACUGGGCGUAAAGCGCGCGUAGGCGGUCUGAUAAGCCGGUUGUGAAAGCCCCGGGCUCAACCUGGGAACGGCAUCCGGAACUGUCAGGCUAGAGUGCAGGAGAGGAAGGUAGAAUUCCCGGUGUAGCGGUGAAAUGCGUAGAGAUCGGGAGGAAUACCAGUGGCGAAGGCGGCCUUCUGGACUGACACUGACGCUGAGGUGCGAAAGCGUGGGUAGCAAACAGGAUUAGAUACCCCGGUAGUC